CCUACGGGUGGCAGCAGUGGGGAAUAUUGGACAAUGGGCGAAAGCCUGAUCCAGCCAUGCCGCGUGUGUGAAGAAGGCCUUCGGGUUGUAAAGCACUUUCAGUGGGGAAGAAAGCCUUGGGGCUAAUACCCUCGAGGAAGGACAUCACCCACAGAAGAAGCACCGGCUAACUCCGUGCCAGCAGCCGCGGUAAUACGGAGGGUGCGAGCGUUAAUCGGAAUUACUGGGCGUAAAGCGCGCGUAGGCGGUCUGAUAAGCCGGUUGUGAAAGCCCCGGGCUCAACCUGGGAACGGCAUCCGGAACUGUCAGGCUAGAGUGCAGGAGAGGAAGGUAGAAUUCCCGGUGUAGCAGUGAAAUGCGUAGAGAUCGGGAGGAAUACCAGUGGCGAAGGCGGCCUUCUGGACUGACACUGACGCUGAGGUGCGAAAGCGUGGGUAGCAAACAGGAUUAGAUACCCCAGUAGUC
This 465-nucleotide ribosomal RNA is filed under the name Vreelandella stevensii. RNAcentral's name for it is "partial 16S ribosomal RNA". It matches the Rfam family "Bacterial small subunit ribosomal RNA", at positions 338 to 795 of the family's 1533-position model. The record is from RNAcentral. Lineage: Bacteria; Pseudomonadati; Pseudomonadota; Gammaproteobacteria; Oceanospirillales; Halomonadaceae.